UAGGAGAGACAGGGAGGAGGAGGGGAGGUAACAGACAUGCUCUACCUCUAGCUUCCCACUGUAAUUUUGUGAGGCAACGGAUUGACCAUUGUGCUAGUGUUCCGAGCUCAGUGGACCCUGUUUGCCACGUUCCAGGAGCCUGCUGUGUCAACCAGAAAGCCAAGGGUUCAGUUGUCAGAGUCCUUUAAGAUGAAAAAGGUUACCCUGGAGUAAAAUCGACAGCAUGAAUUUACAAUGAAAGAUCAGCAUACACACGUGGGGAAAAAAAUCCCCUUGAUGUCAGCAGAAACAGCCAAUUUAGACCUUUAAAGUCUUCAGAUCUAUGCUGAAAAAGAAAGGAGAGUGAUAGUUGAAGAGAAAGAAAGAUUACUCCAAAAGGAUGGUCUGAGAUCAAAGAAGUAAUGGGAAGCAAAAGAGAAGUCAAUAUGUGAAUAAAUAUAAAGAGGUAUUGUCUCUAUAAAACAUGUUGCAAG
Molecule: long non-coding RNA, 473 nt
Organism: Herpailurus yagouaroundi (jaguarundi)
Lineage: Eukaryota; Metazoa; Chordata; Mammalia; Carnivora; Felidae
Exons: 3
Source: RefSeq, a predicted model, not a curated record